Molecule: ribosomal RNA, 253 nt
Filed under: uncultured bacterium
Lineage: Bacteria
Description: partial 16S ribosomal RNA
Rfam family: Bacterial small subunit ribosomal RNA
Source: RNAcentral
UACGUAGGGUGCGAGCGUUGUCCGGAAUCACUGGGCGUAAAGGGCGCGUAGGCGGCUGGGGAAGUCGGCGGUGAAAGCCCGGAGCUCAACUCCGGGUCGGCCGUCGAGACUCCUCGGCUCGAGCUCACUAGAGGCAGAUGGAAUUCCGGGUGUAGCGGUGGAAUGCGUAGAGAUCCGGAAGAACACCGGUGGCGAAGGCGGUCUGCUGGGGUGAGGCUGACGCUGAUGCGCGACAGCGUGGGGAGCAAACAGG